CACGUAGGGCGCAAGCGUUGUCCGGAAUUAUUGGGCGUAAAGAGCUCGUAGGCGGUUUGUCGCGUCGAAUGUGAAAACCCGGGGCUCAACCCCGGGCCUGCAUUCGAUACGGGCAGACUAGAGCUCGGUAGGGGAGUCUGGAAUUCCUGGUGUAGCGGUGAAAUGCGCAGAUAUCAGGAGGAACACCGGUGGCGAAGGCGGGACUCUGGGCCGAUACUGACGCUGAGGAGCGAAAGCGUGGGGAGCAAACGGG
RNAcentral lists this ribosomal RNA (253 nucleotides) under uncultured bacterium. Its description in RNAcentral is "partial 16S ribosomal RNA". It matches the Rfam family "Bacterial small subunit ribosomal RNA", at positions 524 to 776 of the family's 1533-position model. The record is from RNAcentral.